UACGUAGGGGGCAAGCGUUGUCCGGAAUUAUUGGGCGUAAAGGGUGCGUAGGCGGCCUUGCAAGUUGGAUGUGAAAUCCCCGUGCUUAACAUGGGAAUUGCAUUCAAAACUGUGGGGCUUGAGUGUGGAAGAGGUAAGUGGAAUUCCCAGUGUAGCGGUGAAAUGCGUAGAUAUUGGGAGGAACACCAGUGGCGAAGGCGACUUACUGGGCCACAACUGACGCUGAUGCACGAAAGCGUGGGGAGCAAACAGGAUUAGAUACCCUGGUAGUCCACGCUGUAAACGAUGAUUACUAGGUGUAGGGGGUUACACCCCCCCUGUGCCGCAGCUAACGCAAUAAGUAAUCCGCCUGGGGAGUACGGUCGCAAGAUUGAA
Molecule: ribosomal RNA, 375 nt
Filed under: uncultured bacterium
Lineage: Bacteria
Description: bacterial SSU rRNA
Rfam family: Bacterial small subunit ribosomal RNA
Source: RNAcentral